Priapulus caudatus is the source of this 845-nucleotide long non-coding RNA. RefSeq lists it as uncharacterized. The transcript is spliced from 4 exons. NCBI's taxonomy places the organism in Eukaryota, Metazoa, Priapulida, Priapulimorpha, Priapulimorphida, Priapulidae. The record is from RefSeq and is a predicted model, not a curated record.
UCGCGCUCUUUUCGUCGUCUUUACACGAGGUGGUUUUGCGUGAUAGGUAACGACGGACAUUCCUUGUAUGAAAAUAAAAUAAAGGUGACUCGCCAAUGACACGAUAAUACGAUGAGCUUGACCGACACGGACACCACAUAGUGUCUGCGCUUCAGCGAUAUGGUAGGAGCGCAACAACAUGAGCCCGAUGAGCAGCUCUUGGACAGCGACAUUGAUCAAGGUCCAUGAGGGUGCAUGAAAUUGAUGUGGUAGUCACCAAACUCCUCCGAAAUUUCGUCCACCAUGCCAAUCCACGGAAAGCCGUCAUAAAGACAGCAGACCAAGUUUUGUUCCUUUAUUUCUGAUUGCACAGAUGGUUCUGGUUCUAGUUCUGCAUCAUUACUGUCUCAGAACUUCUUUGCAACAUCACAUGGCAAGAGUGCCUGUGACGAUAUAGGAGGGACUGUCAAGCAACUAGUCACCAAGGCUAGCCUGCAGCGCCCAUAUAAUGACCAGAUUCUGACAGCGGACGGAAUUAUGGCUUUCUGAGUGGAGAAUAUCCCUGCUAUCACGUUUUUCAAUGUGACACCAGAGGAUGUAAUUCAAUCAGCUUCAGAGUUAAAGGACAGGUUUGACAUGGUGAAAACUAUUAAAGGGACACUGCAAUACCGCAGAUUCGUUCCAGUCUCCAACUCUACGCUACAUGUGUACAAGUUGAGUAACCAAGCUUGCCCUGCGGAUUUAGUACAUGUUUCAGACAGUAUGUGUACAAUGUGUAUAAUGUUAAUACAGUGUGAGGUAAGUGGUUACAGGGUUCGUAGCGGGUCUUCCAAAGUCUUAUAAGUACUUAUUUUGCCAAAAAUAAA